AGCUUUGCGCAGUGGCAGUAUCGUAGCCAGUGAGGUUUAUCCGAGGCACAAUUAUUGCUAAUUGACUGCUCAAUGCUAAUAUUUCAAGUUUCUUGCACCAUUUUGUGCCACGCAUUUAGUUAUUAUUAUAUACCAAAGUCC
Molecule: small nuclear RNA, 141 nt
Organism: Lemur catta (Ring-tailed lemur)
Lineage: Eukaryota; Metazoa; Chordata; Mammalia; Primates; Lemuridae
Product: U4 spliceosomal RNA
Exons: 1
Source: RefSeq, a predicted model, not a curated record